AACGGCUCGUGUAGCACGGGGGAAGGGAUGUGCCGCUUAAAGUCCGGGUUUACUUCAUUUUGAUCUCAUGGUUCCAGGUUCCCCUGUCAGCCGCAACGCCGUGCAGUUUGCUCUGUUCUGCUGUCACAGCUUACAGCAGGUAUCAGACAGGAAACUGCUGGAAAAAAAACUCACUUGUAAUUCGGGAUCCUUAAAGAGAUUAAAAGCCGCAAUUAGUUGCAAUCAGGGAGCAAUCGCAUGGAACGUAGCCAGCACUGCUGAAGUGGGGUUUGAGUGGUGAUCUCCAUCUGUGACUCGUGGUAUAGCUGGGACGUGACCAUCGCUGCGGGUUGAUCGACUGCAAAGCAAAGAUGGGGGACAAAUUCCUGCAUAAGGUUUAUGAAGGAAAAGCUGCUUGCAAUACCCAUGUGGUUCUAGCUUCAGGACUACUGCUGAGGGACAUCACUGCCACAACACAGACUUACUGUGACCAUCCUGAUGUAUGGCUGGACUCUCACUUGUGGGAGAAGAGGAAGGAAAGACCUGGAAAGACUGCUGUCACCACACCAGAAGGAAAGGAGAGGUCAUCUUUCAUUUCCUCAUUAGGAAGAAGUGAGGAUUUGCGGAAAGAAAAUAGUCUU
Molecule: non-coding RNA, 620 nt
Organism: Cyanistes caeruleus (blue tit)
Lineage: Eukaryota; Metazoa; Chordata; Aves; Passeriformes; Paridae
Source: RefSeq, a predicted model, not a curated record